AUGGAAGAGAACAGGCGGAGAAACAUGUGGAGCGGGGUGAGGUGGUUGAAGCACUACUCGUCGGUGCAAAGCAUCCUGGUCGUCGGCGACGGGGACUUCUCCUUCUCGCUGGCGCUCGCCACUGCCUUCGGCUCCGGGGAGAACAUCGUCGCCACAUCCCUCGACUCCUACGAUGCCCUGGUUGGCAAAUAUAACGAAGCUGAAUCAAAUGUAAUGGAGCUCAAAAGAAUGAGGGCCACUGUUUUGCACGGUGUCGAUGCGAAAAAGAUGAAGACUCGCCCUUAUUUAAAGACGAGACGGUUUGAUCGGAUCGUCUUUAAUUUUCCACAUGCUGGGUUCAAAGCAAAAGAGUACAAAGAGGUGGAUAUGGUCAACUUGCAUAAGGAUUUGGUGAAGGGUUUUCUUGGCAAUGCUCGACAUCUGGUUCAACCUUAUGGUGAAAUCCACAUCAGCCACAAGAUGGGGCAUCCUUACGAUGCCUGGGAUCUCAAGGGGCCUUGGAGUCUUCCCUUGUUAUGA
This 519-nucleotide ribosomal RNA is filed under the name Triticum aestivum (bread wheat). RNAcentral describes it as "partial small subunit ribosomal RNA". The record is from RNAcentral. Lineage: Eukaryota; Viridiplantae; Streptophyta; Magnoliopsida; Poales; Poaceae.